UGAUCCUUCCUUCCGUAGGUGAACCUGCGGAAGGAUCAUUAAAUAAUUUGAGUAUGCUUAUGCAUAUUUCUAAUUUACUGUGAACUGUUUUACUGUUUAGCGUUUUGAGGGAUUGCCUAAAGAUUAUAGGGAUAGGUCUUCAGGAUGUUAACCUAGCUAAAGUCAGGCUUAGGCCUGGUAUCCUAAUUCAUUAUUUACCAAAAGAAUUCAGAAUUAAUAUUGUAACAUAAGCGUAAAAAACUUAUAAAACAACUUUUAACAACGGAUCUCUUGGUUCUCGCAUCGAUGAAGAACGUAGCAAAGUGCGAUAACUAGUGUGAAUUGCAUAUUCAGUGAAUCAUCGAGUCUUUGAACGCAUCUUGCGCUCAAUGGUAUUCCAUUGAGCACGCCUGUUUCAGUAUCAACAACAACCCACAUCCACAAUUUUGUUGUGAAUGGAAGUGAGAGUAUCGAUGUAAAAAUUGAACUCUUUAAAACUAUUAGGCCUGAACUAUUGUUCUAUUAGCCUGAACAUUUUUUUAAUAUAAAGGAAUGCUCUAGUUAAAAGACUAUCUUGGGGGCCUCCCAAAUAAAUCAUUUUUUUAAACUUGAUCUGAAAUCAGGUGGGAUUACCCGCUGAACUUAAGCAUAUCAAUAAGCGGAGAGAAGAAAGGAUC
RNAcentral lists this ribosomal RNA (656 nucleotides) under Mucor irregularis. Its description in RNAcentral is "eukaryotic LSU rRNA". The stretch from base 251 to 403 matches the Rfam family "5.8S ribosomal RNA". The record is from RNAcentral. Lineage: Eukaryota; Fungi; Mucoromycota; Mucoromycetes; Mucorales; Mucoraceae.